CACAGGUCCAGAUCUGAGCGCCCAUCCCUAAAGCAAUGGUGGUGAGAGGAGGAGGCAGAGAGAGGAGAUCUUGGUGCUCCAUACUAAAACCCUUCCAUGCCCAGGAACAGUGCUGAUCAUCCAGAAGUAAAGCAAGUAUUUUCACUGAAGAGACAGAGGCUCUUCUCCCCAAGAAGCCUUCCUUUUUCCUCCAUCAGUAUGUAUAAAAGACAUACAAAGCCAGCUGCUCAGAUGGAUUAGAAAGCACUGCACCACGUCAAUGGGCACCCUUGUUUGUGUUGUUGAGAAGAGAUUUUUAGUUAAGAAAGAAAGAAAGAAAUGCCUCCCCUGUAAUCGCCACUAACGAGGAGACCCUAGUGAAGUUUUUGUUUUUUAAAAGGCUUUGGCAAAAGACAUUUUGGACUUUUGGAUUAGUUCAUGUUCCCUCCCACUCCCCACUUGAUCCUUGAGGAUUUGCCUGAGUCAUAGAUUUUUACUGGUCUUGUUAACUCUGUUGUUUUUUUUUUUUUCAGUCAAGAGGAUAAAGAAAUCUUUUGGCGAGAGCCACUCAGGGGGGAUUAGCUGAGAGUGGACUGAACAAGGCGGUGACUCCCCAGAGGGGAUGACCCCUGACUCCUGGGUCAGGCAGGGACUCAUCUUUGCCUCAUAGACAAGGCAAGAUGAAGAUUCCCUACAAGUGUUUUCUCCAUCCUCACCGAUGUCCUUCCAUGCAGUGACAGGCAGGGCAGAAGAUGAGCUCUGUUAUGACAGCUGCUGUUCUGCAAAACUGGGGGAAACGAUAAAGUGGAUAGAAUAUCAAAGGGUAUAGGAACUGUUAUUGGAAGGAAACCAUAACCUCUUUUACAACCUAAAGGGACCUACCUUUUUUCCUCCUGUAUAAUUUUCAGAGCUGCAAGGGUUUUCACUGCACAGCAGCAGUGCUUCAAUUCAUUGAAGAGCUAAAAGGUGACAAGAGUGGCUUUUGGAGAAGUUUCUGUUGUAGAUGUGAGCUCUACCCAGUACUGAUGGUAUCCUGGAUGAUGUGGUGGUGGCAGAAGGUUAUGAGUGAGCUGCUUGCACAAGCUUUAUGAAUUUAACUUGCUCACUUUGGCUGGGAAGUUACAAGCAAUGCAUUUGGGAUGCAAAAACACAGUAUGAAAUAAAGCCAAAAAUCAAACUGAAAGCUGACA
This 1169-nucleotide long non-coding RNA is filed under the name Chloebia gouldiae (Gouldian finch). Its description in RNAcentral is "Erythrura gouldiae (Gouldian finch) lncRNA (ENSEGOG00005002533.1)". The record is from RNAcentral. Lineage: Eukaryota; Metazoa; Chordata; Aves; Passeriformes; Passeridae.